GAACAAAUUUAAACAGUUAACAGGGCUUUUAGAUUUGCAAGGUUCUCUGUUGUUUUCAGUUUCAUGUCUGCUUAGGUUUGAUGAUUCAACAGAUGUAGCCCUGAGGUUAGUUUUAUAAGGUGUACUUUGGGUGGAUUCAUGAAUGAUUUUGCCAAGCUCAUGACAUUUAUAAGAUUUCACUUGGAUAUUCACAUGCUCAUGGACAAUAUGCUGAAGGUCUUGAUCCAAGAUGUUCUUAUAUUUAGGACACAUCCCAUGGGUCUCUGAAAAAAAAAUGUAUUUAGAUAUGACAGGGAUUAGUGGAUGAGUAUGACAAUAUCCCAUGUCCCUGAAAAAAAUUUUAAUGUAAAUUAGUGAUUCUCAAGAGUAGAGCUCUCAAAAAAAAAAAAAGUCUUUCCUGUUUCACAAUCACAUCAUGGAUGCUUAGAACAACCUCAAAUCUCAUGUAUAUCAAAUGACCAUAAACAAUAGCCUCUAUUUCUUAUUUAAACACUGUGCUUUGCAGAAUGUAAAAAGAAUAGGUUAUGGAGCAUUAAAAGACGUUGAGAAAGGAGCGCGCUGAAGGAUCACAUUAAAAAAAGUUUCUCUAUUUUCUUGUUUAUGUUUUGUGAGAGUAACACAGUCUAGCUUGGGUCAGCUAGUAAGUCAUUAUGUAAUCCACAUUGGUAUGGAACUCAUGAUAUAAAACCUAUGCUGUACCAGGACUAAACAUAGAAAUCACAGGUCUAAAACUGAAUAAAUAAGUAACAACAAAAAUUCUCAAAACCAACAGCUCAUUUUCUAUUUAGAAACUUGUGCAUUUUUAAAAUUUACAAGCAACCAAAGACUUUAACGCAACAGUAAAAUUAGAAUGUUACAACAAUUACAGGCGUGGCAAUAUAUUUUCUUGCUCUGAAUAUUCAAUUGUUUUUGAACUCUGAUGUUUUUAUUAAAAGUACAUACAAUGUUUUAAGAGAUUACACCACUGGAUCCUCUUCUAAAGAAUGGAGAGAAAUGUAAAGGAAACACAGCGAACAAGUUAUGUUGGUAUCCAGAAUUUCCCUUAUUCUGGGAGUCUCUAGACAUGUCAAAGCAUUUAUAUAAGCACACACAGCAAGUAAAUUCAAAGAAUGAGUCAGGAAUUCUGCAAAAAGACUAUGCUUACCCACAAAAAACAGAUUAUUGUAAUUCUCCAACAUCACAUCCAUGUACAGUGCCCUCUGAGCACAAUCAAGACAUUCCCAUUCCUCCUGUGAGAAGUCCACUGCCACAUCCUUGAAUGUUAACUGACCCUGUAAUGGAAAAAUACCUGUUCAUCAUAUGCUCCUGGACAAAAGUGUUUUCCUGGAUAAAAAAGACCUAAAGAAUAAGAGGCACAUUGUGAUAAAAAUGAGUCAUGGGAAAUAUUUGAGGACAAACAACAUCUUCUAGAAGUGCUAUAGAAAUGUAUCAGAAGUUAAGCAUUGUUGCUUUAUGAGGCAAUGCAUAGGAUGACAUACUAUACUGAGUCCAUUCCUAAGGUCUCUCUCCUUCAUGAAUUUUCUGGUGUUUUCUAAGACCUUAGCAACAGAUGAAGAUGCCACCAUCAUUCAUUUUAAAAUUUGUAUGCAGUUUGGAUCCUAUAAUUCUAAAUUGUUUCCCAGCACCCACAUGAACUAUACAGCAGAUUUUUAUUUCUAAUCCAUCAAAAUCUAAUGCUCUCUUCUAAACUCAACAGGCUGGAGGAAUAUACAGCACAUAUGCAUAUAUUCGGGCAAAUAUACCAACAUACAUAAAAGAAAAUGAAAUUUAAUUUUAAUAAAGGAUGUUACCU
This 1792-nucleotide long non-coding RNA is filed under the name Mus musculus (house mouse). RNAcentral's name for it is "long non-coding RNA chr17:21819925-21821717". The record is from RNAcentral. Lineage: Eukaryota; Metazoa; Chordata; Mammalia; Rodentia; Muridae.